UUUUGGUUUUUUUUUUUAAAUUUC
RNAcentral lists this small RNA (24 nucleotides) under Arabidopsis thaliana (thale cress). RNAcentral describes it as "ATSL106220". Lineage: Eukaryota; Viridiplantae; Streptophyta; Magnoliopsida; Brassicales; Brassicaceae. The record is from RNAcentral.